Molecule: ribosomal RNA, 263 nt
Filed under: uncultured bacterium
Lineage: Bacteria
Description: partial 16S ribosomal RNA
Rfam family: Bacterial small subunit ribosomal RNA
Source: RNAcentral
AUUAGUGGCGGACGGGUGAGUAACGCGUGGAUAACCUGCCGUAUACAGGGGGAUAACACUUAGAAAUAGGUGCUAAUACCGCAUAAGCGCACGGUUCCGCAUGGAACAGUGUGAAAAACUCCGGUGGUAUACGAUGGAUCCGCGUCUGAUUAGCCGGUUGGCGGGGUAAAGGUCCACCAAGGCGACGAUCAGUAGCCGGCCUGAGAGGGUGAACGGCCACAUUGGGACUGAGACACGGCCCAAACUCCUACGGGAGGCAGCAG